This 792-nucleotide ribosomal RNA is filed under the name Salmonella enterica subsp. enterica serovar Gatuni. RNAcentral's name for it is "partial 23S ribosomal RNA". It matches the Rfam family "Bacterial large subunit ribosomal RNA", at positions 398 to 1191 of the family's 2925-position model. The record is from RNAcentral. Lineage: Bacteria; Pseudomonadati; Pseudomonadota; Gammaproteobacteria; Enterobacterales; Enterobacteriaceae.
UGUGAGCUCGAUGAGUAGGGCGGGACACGUGGUAUCCUGUCUGAAUAUGGGGGGACCAUCCUCCAAGGCUAAAUACUCCUGACUGACCGAUAGUGAACCAGUACCGUGAGGGAAAGGCGAAAAGAACCCCGGCGAGGGGAGUGAAAAAGAACCUGAAACCGUGUACGUACAAGCAGUGGGAGCACCCUUUGGGGUGUGACUGCGUACCUUUUGUAUAAUGGGUCAGCGACUUAUAUUCUGUAGCAAGGUUAACCGUAUAGGGGAGCCGGAGGGAAACCGAGUCUUAACCGGGCGUUAAGUUGCAGGGUAUAGACCCGAAACCCGGUGAUCUAGCCAUGGGCAGGUUGAAGGUUGGGUAACACUAACUGGAGGACCGAACCGACUAAUGUUGAAAAAUUAGCGGAUGACCUGUGGCUGGGGGUGAAAGGCCAAUCAAACCGGGAGAUAGCUGGUUCUCCCCGAAAGCUAUUUAGGUAGCGCCUCGUGAAUUCAUCUCCGGGGGUAGAGCACUGUUUCGGCUAGGGGGCCAUCCCGGCUUACCAACCCGAUGCAAACUGCGAAUACCGGAGAAUGUUAUCACGGGAGACACACGGCGGGUGCUAACGUCCGUCGUGAAGAGGGAAACAACCCAGACCGCCAGCUAAGGUCCCAAAGUCAUGGUUAAGUGGGAAACGAUGUGGGAAGGCCCAGACAGCCAGGAUGUUGGCUUAGAAGCAGCCAUCAUUUAAAGAAAGCGUAAUAGCUCACUGGUCGAGUCGGCCUGCGCGGAAGAUGUAACGGGGCUAAACCAUG